UACAAUUAGUAUCAUCUCCAAUUCUCUAAAAAUACAGGUUUCCUUUUCAAAGUUCUAGCCUAUCUAGCAUGGAAUGGCACUAAUUACCAUUCACAUACUUUCUAACAUGUAUCUAAUGGUUGACUUUGGGUCAUUUGUCUUGCAGGAUGCUUAACCCUUUCUGGUCAUGCAUCACAGAGUUGCCAAUUUUAUGUAUUCCUGGAGGUUCCAUCACAUGUCAUAAUGUCAUAAUCAUGUCAGAGGCCAGAGAUCAAAGGUAGUAUCAGGCUGGAGUCAGGAGGCAAGAGUCAAGGUCAGAGUCAGGCUGCGAUUGGAGAGCAGGAGACGAGGCAAAGUCUGGAGUCACAACAGGCUGUCAGGACACUUCAAACAAACAAAUUAUAGACACAAUGUAUAUAUGCAUGGUGGUGGGAGAAAAGUUUGAAUGACAUGAGUUUGGGAUGAUCUUGCAAGUGACAAAGAAGGUGUUAGGUCCUGCCCACCACAAAGGCCAACUGAGACCAAAUGAGCCAUUGUGAAACAUCGAAGAAUAAAGACGGUGAUUGCUCCCCCCCCAAUGCCCAUGAAGCGGAGAUGUGCAGGUGGAUUCAUCCCAUCAGCUUGAUCGCUGAGAGAAAGGAAUAAAAAUCCCCAACAAGAAGGAACUUUGCCACUGUGUUGCUUGAACUCUGAAGGGUGACGAUUCUUAAACAGAAGCAAGAGAUCCUCAGCUGUUUUGCCUUGGUGAACCCUAGAGGAUUUAUAGAACUUGCACAUUACAGCAGCUUAUAUUACCUUUUGGAACCUAAGACUGUAACUCACUUG
This is a long non-coding RNA of Mauremys reevesii (Reeves's turtle), 804 nucleotides long. RefSeq lists it as uncharacterized. The record is from RefSeq and is a predicted model, not a curated record. The transcript is spliced from 3 exons. NCBI's taxonomy places the organism in Eukaryota, Metazoa, Chordata, Testudines, Geoemydidae.